AAAGCGGAACCCGAAAAGCUAUAACAGAGUAGGGA
RNAcentral lists this non-coding RNA (35 nucleotides) under unclassified sequences. RNAcentral describes it as "DUF805b RNA". It matches the Rfam family "DUF805b RNA". Rfam says of the family: Bacteroidetes, Chlorobi (1 example), Proteobacteria. The record is from RNAcentral.